This 208-nucleotide ribosomal RNA is filed under the name uncultured bacterium. Its description in RNAcentral is "partial 16S ribosomal RNA". It matches the Rfam family "Bacterial small subunit ribosomal RNA", at positions 28 to 236 of the family's 1533-position model. The record is from RNAcentral.
GACGAACGCUGGCGGCGUGCUUAACACAUGCAAGUCGAGCGGUAAGGCCCUUUCGGGGGUACACGAGCGGCGAACGGGUGAGUAACACGUGGGUGACCUGCCCUCAGCUCUGGGAUAAGCCUGGGAAACCGGGUCUAAUACCGGAUAUGACUCCAUGACGCAUGUUGUGGGGUGGAAAGCCUUGUGCGGCUGAGGAUGGGGCCCGCGG